This 30-nucleotide non-coding RNA is filed under the name Rattus norvegicus (Norway rat). Lineage: Eukaryota; Metazoa; Chordata; Mammalia; Rodentia; Muridae. The record is from RNAcentral.
UGAGCAAUGGUGCUUCGCUUGUAUAGAGUU